RNAcentral lists this long non-coding RNA (610 nucleotides) under Androctonus crassicauda. The record is from RNAcentral. Lineage: Eukaryota; Metazoa; Arthropoda; Arachnida; Scorpiones; Buthidae.
AACGUAGACAGCUGCAGUAGCUGUGAGAGAAGUGUGUCCAUGAUGACGUCACGCACAGAAGCUGUUCGUAGCAAAACUAUUAAGUUGCUCUACAUUAUAUUUAUGUACCUUUGUCUCGACCAAUAUUUUUAGGUAAUCUACAAAAGAAAAUUCCCUGAAUACGACUAUCAGUAUACAGUCGGCUGUGGAGAAACAAAUACAUAAAUCUGUGUUCUUAACUUCAAAAUACUAUAUAAUCCCGACUGCAGUACGUAGUUUUCAUUUCAAAAUGAAGCAGUUCGUGUUUUGUUUGAGUAUUUUUAUCUUCAUUAUAUUCUUGGCUAACAGAGAAGUAAUGGCCCAAAGUAAUGAGGGAGAAAUACAAGGAACUCGUCCUAAGGAACAUCUCCUACAAUCAUCUCCUGUCAAUGUUGUUAUACCAGGUCCUAUUUUGUCAGCUGCUGAUGAGGUUGAAAGAAUAAGUAAUGGUAAACGCUAAAUACCACUUCCCAUAUCUAACCAAAGAAGAAGAAAACAACUCGCAGUUGCCUGAAUCUUGUGAUGGUUAAUAAAUAAUUGUUUUGCUGAAUAUGUGUUUGCUUAUUGCUUUAGUCGAUCAGAUCGGAAGAGC